GAGUUUGAUCCUGGCUCAGAAUAAAUGCUAUUGGUAUGCUUAACACAUGCAAGUCAAAUGUUUUUAAUAAAAAACAUGGCAAACGGGUGCGUAACACGUGAAUUAUCUACCCUUUAAUUCAGCAUAAUUAUUUUAAUAAAAAUUCUGAAUAAAAAAUAAAGUUUUAAAAACGUUAAAGGAUGAGUUUGCGGAAGAUUAGGUAGUUGGUAGUGUAAUGGACUACCAAGCCUACGAUCUUUAGCUGAUUUGAAAGAAUGAUCAGCCACAUUGGGACUGAGACACGGCCCAAACUUUUUUAAAGGCAGCAGUGAGGAAUAUUGGACAAUGGGCGAAAGCCUGAUCCAGCAAUACCAAGUGAGUGAAGAAGGCUAAUAGGUUGUAAAGCUCUUUCAUUAAGGAAGAAAAAAGACAGUACUUAAAAAAGAAGUUCCGGCUAAUUUCGUGCCAGCAGCCGCGGUAAUACGAGAGGAGCGAGCAUUAUUCGAAAUGAUUAGGCGUAAAGGGUUUGUAGGUUGUUUUUUAAGUUGAAAAAAAAAGAUUAAAGCUUAACUUUAUUUAUUUUUUCAAAACUGAAAAACUAGAGUAUAAAUAGAGGAUAAUAGAAUUCUUAUUGUAGGGAUAAAAUCCUUUAAUAAUAAGAGGAAUUUUCAUGGCGAAGGCAAUUAUCUGGGUAUAUACUGACAUUGAGGAACGAAAGCUUGGGGAGCGAACGGGAUUAGAUACCCCGGUAGUCCAUGCUGUAAACGAUGAGUGCUCAUAUUUAGAGAAAUUUAGAUAUUUAAAAAGCUAACGCAUUAAGCACUCCGCCUGAAGAGUAUAACCGCAAGGUUGAAAUUCAAAGGAAUUGACGGGAGUCUACACAAGCGGUGGAGCAUGUGGUUUAAUUCGAUAAUACGCGCAGAACCUUACCAAUUCUUGUAAAUAUUUAAAAAAUUUUAUUUUUAAAAUACAGGCGUUGCAUGGCUGUCGUCAGCUCGUGUUGUGAGAUGUUUGGUUUAUUCCCUUAACGAGCGAAACCCCUAUUUUUAGUUGCUAAUUUAAUUAGAAAAUAGUCUUUUUUGAUAAAUGCACUUUAAAAAAAGUUAAUGAUAUAUUAAUGGAAAUGGGGAUUACGUCAAGUCUUCAUGGCCCUUAUGAAUUGGGCUACACACGUGCUACAAUGAUAAAUACAAUGAGAGGCAAUAAUUAUAAAAAGUUGGAGCAAAUCUUUAAAAUUUAUCUUAGUUCGGAUUAUGGGCUGCAACUCGCCCAUAUAAAGUUGGAAUCGCUAGUAAUCGCAAAACAGCAUGUUGCGGUGAAUAUGUUACUAGACUUUGUACACACCGCCCGUCACAUCAUGGAAGUUAAUUCAUUUUAAAGCCGUUAUUUUGUUUAUUUUUAUGUUAAAAAAAUAAUAUUAUUAUAAAUAAUGUAUUUAUUGAUUUUAAUUUUAAAUAUUAUAAUUACUAAGAAGGGAUUCGUAACUAUGAUGAAGUCGUAACAAGGUAGUCGUAGGGGAACCUGUGGCUG
Molecule: ribosomal RNA, 1509 nt
Filed under: Thraustotheca clavata
Lineage: Eukaryota; Oomycota; Saprolegniomycetes; Saprolegniales; Achlyaceae
Description: small subunit ribosomal RNA
Rfam family: Bacterial small subunit ribosomal RNA
Source: RNAcentral